AGGACCAUGAGUAAGAGUAUGAGUAUUAGACCCAGAAGGAGUCUGAGCAAGAGUCCAAGUGUUAGUCCAAAGAGAAGCAUGAGCAGGAGUCCACCACAUAUCUCACGGAGGAGUUUCAGCAGAAGUCCUGCUAGAAGUGGUAGCAGCAGGAACCCUGCUAGAAGGCUCAGCAGAAGGCCAGCUAAAAGUUUCCGCCAAAGAGGGGCAAAAAGGCUAGAAGCAUUAGCAAGAGCCCUGUGAGAUCUCAUUAUCGAAGAAGCACAGGCAGGAGCCCUGUUCGAUCUCCUCCUCGAAGAAGCAAGAGCAGGAGCACACCUAGAGCAUCAUCACGAAAAUCAAUUAGCAGAAGUCCUGUUAGGUCUUCUCGAAGAGGAUUUAGCAGAAGCCCGGUUAGGUCUUAUCGGCGAAGCACUAGCAGAAGCCCAGUUAGAUCAUCUCGUAGAAGCAUUAGCAGAAGCUCUGGUAGGGUUCCUUCAAAGAGAAGUGUUAGUAGAAGUCCAUUUAGGGCUCCAAGUAGGAACAAUCGUCGUAGCUAUUCAAGAAGCCCUAGGCCCAUACGUAGGGCAAGAUCUCCUCCUGUUCAAAGAAGUUUGUCAAGAAGUGUUUCCCCUGAUGGGUCUCCCAAACGCAUUAGAAGAGGGCGUGGUUUUAGUCAACGGUACUCUUAUGCUAGGCGAUACAGAACCCCUUCUGUAGAUCGCUCUUCUGUUAGAUCAUACCGAUAUAGCAGAAGCGACCGUGACAGAUAUUCAAGUUACAGGAGAUAUUCACCUAGGCGGUAUAGAAGCCCACCNNNNNAACCCCUCCUAGAUAUAGAGGUAGGAGAAGAACAAGGAGCCCAUCUGUAUCACGAAGCCCUCGCUACCGUAGCCGUCGCUACAGUCCUAGUCAUAGCCCAGUUUGUAGUCGUUCCCCUGUUGAUGCACCUAGGUCUCGUGCCUCUCCACAGGCUGAAAGGUCUCCUUCUCAUAGUCGGAGCCUGUCAGUAUCACAGUCAUCAUUGGACUCCCAGUCUCCUAAACGAGCGAGCAGAGACGGAUCAAGGUCAUCAUCAGGAAGUCCUAGUGGGAGGAGGGGCCUGGUGUCGUACGAAGAUGGUUCACCUGAUUCUUGUCAAAGGUGAACAAGGAUGUAAUGAAG
This 1140-nucleotide unclassified non-coding RNA is filed under the name Hevea brasiliensis (rubber tree). Lineage: Eukaryota; Viridiplantae; Streptophyta; Magnoliopsida; Malpighiales; Euphorbiaceae. The record is from RNAcentral.